GUCGAACGGGCUUGGGGGCAACUCCAGUCAGUGGCGAACGGGUGCGUAACACGUGAGAAAUCUAACAUUCGGCGGGGGAUAGCCSGCCCAACGGCCGGGUAAUACCGCGUACGCUCGUCGAGGGGCAUCUCUUGGCGAGGAAAGCAGCAAUGCACCGAAUGGGGAUCUCGCGGCCUAUCAGCUAGUUGGUGAGGUAAUGGCUCACCAAGGCGACGACGGGUAGCUGGUCUGAGAGGAUGGCCAGCCACAUUGGAACUGAGACACGGCCCAGACUCCUACGGGAGGCAGCAGUGGGGAAUCUUGCGCAAUGGGCGAAAGCCUGACGCAGCGACGCCGCGUGUGGGAUGAAGGCCUUCGGGUUGUAAACCACUGUCGGGAGGGACGAAGCUCUGACGGUACCUCCAAAGGAAGCACCGGCUAACUCUGUGCCAGCAGCCGCGGUAAUACAGAGGGUGCGAGCGUUGUCCGGAAUCACUGGGCGUAAAGGGCGCGUAGGCGGCCUGGUAAGUAGGAGGUGAAAUUCUGCGGCUUAACCGCAGAGCUGCCUUCUAAACUGUCAGGCUUGAGCACGGUAGAGGCUGGUGGAAUUCCCGGUGUAGCGGUGGAAUGCGUAGAGAUCGGGAAGAAYAUCGGUGGCGAAGGCGGCCAGCUGGGCYGUUGCUGACGCUGAGGCGCGAAAGCGUGGGGAGCAAACAGGAUUAGAUACCCUGGUAGUCYACGCUGUAAACGAUGGGUACUAGGYGUCGGGGGGAGCGACCCUCUCGGUG
Molecule: ribosomal RNA, 767 nt
Filed under: uncultured bacterium
Lineage: Bacteria
Description: bacterial SSU rRNA
Rfam family: Bacterial small subunit ribosomal RNA
Source: RNAcentral